CACUAAUCGGUAUAUUCCUUUUUUUUUUUUUUUUUUUUUUUUUUUUUCCCGGGCCCGGGUUCACUUGUCAUCCUUCAUAAUACUUGGAAACAUUGUGUGUCCGUUCCAAUCGAUAGUCACUUUCGAUAAAAAGGAAAAUACGGAGGCAACAAAACCCUCGAUCAAAUUAUUUGAAGCAAUCAAAAACUUCAUUUCACUACUAUUUU
This 206-nucleotide non-coding RNA is filed under the name Chromera velia. Lineage: Eukaryota; Chromeraceae. The record is from RNAcentral.